Molecule: small nuclear RNA, 103 nt
Organism: Ahaetulla prasina
Lineage: Eukaryota; Metazoa; Chordata; Lepidosauria; Squamata; Colubridae
Source: RefSeq, a predicted model, not a curated record
GUAACUUUGGCAACACAUAUACUAAAAUUGGAACAAUACAGAAAGGUUAGCAUGGCCCCUGUGCAAGGAUGAUAUGCAAAUUCAUGAAGCAUUCCAUAUCGUC